RNAcentral lists this ribosomal RNA (471 nucleotides) under uncultured bacterium. Its description in RNAcentral is "partial 16S ribosomal RNA". It matches the Rfam family "Bacterial small subunit ribosomal RNA", at positions 28 to 507 of the family's 1533-position model. The record is from RNAcentral.
GACGAACGCUGGCGGCGUGCUUAACACAUGCAAGUCGAACGGAAAGGCCCUGCUUGCAGGGUGCUCGAGUGGCGAACGGGUGAGUAACAUGUGGGUGAUCUGCCCCUUACUUUGGGAUAAGCCUGGGAAACUGGGUCUAAUACUGGAUAGGACCAUGCUGUAGGUGGUGUGGUGGAAAGAUUUUUUCGGUAAGGGAUGAGCUCGCGGCCUAUCAGCUUGUUGGUGGGGUAAUGGCCUACCAAGGCGUCGACGGGUAGCCGGCCUGAGAGGGUGGACGGCCACAUUGGGACUGAGAUACGGCCCAGACUCCUACGGGAGGCAGCAGUGGGGAAUAUUGCACAAUGGGCGCAAGCCUGAUGCAGCGACGCCGCGUGGGGGAUGACGGCCUUCGGGUUGUAAACUCCUUUCAGCCAUGACGAAGCCUCUUUUGGGGUGACGGUAGUGGUAGAAGAAGCACCGGCUAACUACGUG